This 297-nucleotide ribosomal RNA is filed under the name uncultured bacterium. RNAcentral's name for it is "partial 16S ribosomal RNA". It matches the Rfam family "Bacterial small subunit ribosomal RNA", at positions 775 to 1067 of the family's 1533-position model. The record is from RNAcentral.
GGAUUAGAUACCCUGGUAGUCCACGCCGUAAACGAUGAGAACUAGCUGUCCGGGCACUUGGUGCUUGGGUGGCGCAGCUAACGCGUUAAGUUCUCCGCCUGGGGAGUACGGCCGCAAGGUUAAAACUCAAAGAAAUUGACGGGGGCCUGCACAAGCGGUGGAGCAUGUGGUUUAAUUCGAAGCAACGCGCAGAACCUUACCAACGUUUGACAUCCCUAUCGCGGUUACCAGAGAUGGUUUCCUUCAGUUCGGCUGGAUAGGUGACAGGUGCUGCAUGGCUGUCGUCAGCUCGUGUCG